AUGACUUAGGCCACUUAGUGGAAAAAUGGAUCUAAAAGAUGAAUUUAGAAGUUUGGAUCCUUACAUGCGAAGGCGAGUGCGAUUUGUGACGAUAUUUUGCGGAGUCUGGGGUGGUGUUCUAGUACUAACAGCAGCAGGCUUUCAAAUCUGUAAACCGUGGAUGGACAAAGUCAGACUUCAGAGGGAAGCAUUAGUUACAACAAACCUUGAAGAUACAAAAGAUGGUGACUUAUUGACAACAUAACAGAGUAGUAUGGGAUUUUCUAGGAGAUUGUGUCUUAACCAACUGUGGGUACACUUUGUUCUGUUUGCUUAAAUAGCACUUUUUAAAAAAAAGAAAAAAUAAAAAGAAAAAAAAAGGGCAACAACAACAACCAUAAGAAACUGGAAUGGCAUGAUAAUUGUUUAUGAAUGUGUAAUGUACCACAUUCAGUGUAUCUGUUAAAAAAAAUCAAUGCUGUGAAUGGGAAUUGAAAGGAGAAGGUAUGCAAGAUCAUGUUUAAGACUUUGGAAUUCUGUCAUUCUGGAGUUGGGAGCCCAAGGUUCUUUGGAACUGUCCUAUGGUAACAGUGACUGCUUCAAUGGUUUGUUUGGACACAUUGUAUCAUUACAUGGAGGUGUGAUUUUUAAGUCUGUAUGACUGCACAUGUCCAGGAAUUUUCAAUGGAGAAGAAAACUACAGAGUUGUAUUUUAAAAUGAGGCAUUUGGAUGUAAAUUUGCAGAAAUUCUUCAAAAACAAAAGUUUUACUGUGAUGAAGUUCUAGGCUGAAAAGAAGAAAAUAUAUCAUCUUGGAAAACAUAUCCUCUUGGUAAUGGAUUUUUACUUUGUUUAUUGCUUAUUCAGUGCUCUAAGCUGCAACUGUUUUGGCCACCUGUAAACAAAGACUUAGAGAUAUUAAAUCAAAGAAUUGAGGUA
Molecule: long non-coding RNA, 917 nt
Organism: Stylophora pistillata
Lineage: Eukaryota; Metazoa; Cnidaria; Anthozoa; Scleractinia; Pocilloporidae
Source: RefSeq, a predicted model, not a curated record